This 494-nucleotide ribosomal RNA is filed under the name uncultured bacterium. Its description in RNAcentral is "bacterial SSU rRNA". It matches the Rfam family "Bacterial small subunit ribosomal RNA", at positions 30 to 517 of the family's 1533-position model. The record is from RNAcentral.
AUUGAACGCUGGCGGCAUGCCUUACACAUGCAAGUCGAACGGCAGCACGGGAGCAAUCCUGGUGGCGAGUGGCGAACGGGUGAGUAAUAUAUCGGAACGUGCCCGGUCGUGGGGGAUAACGUAGCGAAAGCUACGCUAAUACCGCAUACGAUCUACGGAUGAAAGCGGGGGAUCGCAAGACCUCGCGCGAUUGGAGCGGCCGAUAUCAGAUUAGGUAGUUGGUGGGGUAAAGGCUCACCAAGCCAACGAUCUGUAGCUGGUCUGAGAGGACGACCAGCCACACUGGAACUGAGACACGGUCCAGACUCCUACGGGAGGCAGCAGUGGGGAAUUUUGGACAAUGGACGCAAGUCUGAUCCAGCCAUUCCGCGUGCAGGAUGAAGGCCCUCGGGUUGUAAACUGCUUUUGUACGGAACGAAAAGGUUUCUAUUAAUACUAGGAGCUCAUGACGGUACCGUAAGAAUAAAGCACCGGCUAACACGUGCCAGCAGCCG